AUUGAACGCUGGCGGCAGGCCUAACACAUGCAAGUCGAACGGUAACAGGAAACAGCUUGCUGUUUCGCUGACGAGUGGCGGACGGGUGAGUAAUGUCUGGGAAACUGCCUGAUGGAGGGGGAUAACUACUGGAAACGGUAGCUAAUACCGCAUAACGUCGCAAGACCAAAGAGGGGGACCUUCGAGCCUCUUGCCAUCGGAUGUGCCCAGAUGGGAUUAGCUAGUAGGUGGGGUAACGGCUCACCUGGGCGACGAUCCCUAGCUGGUCUGAGAGGAUGACCAGCCACACUGGAACUGAGACACGGUCCAGACUCCUACGGGAGGCAGCAGUGGGGAAUAUUGCACAAUGGGCGCAAGCCUGAUGCAGCCAUGCCGCGUGUAUGAAGAAGGCCUUCGGGUUGUAAAGUACUUUCAGCGGGGAGGAAGGGAGUAAAGUUAAUACCUUUACUCAUUGACGUUACCCGCAGAAGAAGCACCGGCUAACUCCGUG
RNAcentral lists this ribosomal RNA (490 nucleotides) under uncultured bacterium. RNAcentral describes it as "partial 16S ribosomal RNA". It matches the Rfam family "Bacterial small subunit ribosomal RNA", at positions 30 to 507 of the family's 1533-position model. The record is from RNAcentral.